AUUGAACGCUGGCGGCAUGCCUUACACAUGCAAGUCGAACGGCAGCACGGGAGCAAUCCUGGUGGCGAGUGGCGAACGGGUGAGUAAAGUAUCGGAACGUGCCCAGUCGUGGGGGAUAACGUAGCGAAAGUUACGCUAAUACCGCAUACGAUCUAUGGAUGAAAGCGGGGGAUCGCAAGACCUCGCGCGAUUGGAGCGGCCGAUAUCCGAUUAGGUAGUUGGUAGGGUAAAGGCUCACCAAGCCGACGAUCUGUAGCUGGCCUGAGAGGACGACCAGCCACACUGGGACUGAGACACGGCCCAGACUCCUACGGGAGGCAGCAGUGGGGAAUUUUGGACAAUGGGCGCAAGCCUGAUCCAGCCAUGCCGCGUGCAGGAUGAAGGCCUUCGGGUUGUAAACUGCCUUUGUACGGAACGAAAAGGUUUGACUUAAUACGUUGGACUCAUGACGGUACCGUAAGAAUAAGCACCGGCUAACUACGUGCCAGCCGCCGCGGUAA
This 500-nucleotide ribosomal RNA is filed under the name uncultured bacterium. RNAcentral's name for it is "partial 16S ribosomal RNA". It matches the Rfam family "Bacterial small subunit ribosomal RNA", at positions 30 to 523 of the family's 1533-position model. The record is from RNAcentral.